RNAcentral lists this ribosomal RNA (476 nucleotides) under Corollospora sp. Its description in RNAcentral is "partial large subunit ribosomal RNA". It matches the Rfam family "Eukaryotic large subunit ribosomal RNA", at positions 97 to 576 of the family's 3401-position model. The record is from RNAcentral. Lineage: Eukaryota; Fungi; Ascomycota; Sordariomycetes; Microascales; Halosphaeriaceae.
AGCGGCAACAGCUCAAAUUUGAAAUCUGGCCCCCUUGCGGGGUCCGAGUUGUAAUUUGCAGAGGAUGCUUUUGGCGAGGUGCCUUCCGAGUGCCCUGGAACGGGCCGCCGCAGAGGGUGAGAGCCCCGUACGGUAGGACGCCGAGCCAGUGUAAAGCUCCCUCGACGAGUCGAGUAGUUUGGGAAUGCUGCUCUAAACGGGAGGUAAACCCCUUCUAAAGCUAAAUACCGGCCAGAGACCGAUAGCGCACAAGUAGAGUGAUCGAAAGAUGAAAAGCACUUUGAAAAGAGAGUCAAACAGCACGUGAAAUUGUUGAAAGGGAAGCGCUUGUGGCCAGACUUGCGCCCCGGCGGCUCAGCCGUCCCUCGUGGGCGGUGCACUCCGCCGGGCGCAGGCCAGCAUCAGCUCGUGGCAGGGGAGAAAGGCGGCGGGAACGUGGCUCUUCGGAGUGUUAUAGCCCGCCGUCACGCCCUACC